Molecule: ribosomal RNA, 420 nt
Filed under: Chloroflexota bacterium
Lineage: Bacteria; Bacillati; Chloroflexota
Description: Chloroflexi bacterium partial 16S ribosomal RNA
Rfam family: Bacterial small subunit ribosomal RNA
Source: RNAcentral
UGGGGGAUAUUGCACAAUGGGCGAAAGCCUGAUGCAGCGACGCCGCGUGGGGGAUGAAGGCUUUCGGGUUGUAAACCUCUUUCGCUAUCGAACAAGGCCCGCUUAGGGUGGGUUGAGGGUAGGUGGAGAAGAAGCGCCGGCUAACUACGUGCCAGCAGCCGCGGUAAUACGUAGGGCGCGAGCGUUGUCCGGAAUUAUUGGGCGUAAAGGGCUUGUAGGCGGCUUGUUGCGCCUGCUGUGAAAACGCGGGGCUUAACUUCGCGCGUGCAGUGGGUACGGGCAGGCUUGAGUGUGGUAGGGGUGACUGGAAUUCCGGGUGUAUCGAUGGAAUGCGCAGAUAUCUGGAGGAACACCGAUGGCGAAGGCAGGUCACUGGGCCAUUACUGACGCUGAGGAGCGAAAGCAUGGGUAGCGAACAGG